CGCCUUGCCAGCCCGCUCAGAAACUCAAAGGAAAUUGACGGGGGCCCGGCACAAGCGGUGGAGUAUGUGGUUUAAUUCGAUGCAACGCGAAGAACCUUACCUGGUCUUGACAUCCCGGAGACCCUUAGGAAACUAGGGGGUGCUUCCAUCUGGAAGAAUCUGGAGACAGGUGCUGCAUGGCUGUCGUCAGCUCGUGUCGUGAGAUGUUGGGUUAAGUCCCGCAACGAGCGCAACCCUUGCCUUUAGUUGCCAGCAGUUCGGCUGGGCACUCUAAAGGGACUGCCGGUGUUAAACCGGAGGAAGGUGGGGAUGACGUCAAGUCCUCAUGGCCUUUAUGACCAGGGCUACACACGUACUACAAUGGCCGAUACAAAGGGCAGCGACACUGCGAGGUGAAGCCAAUCCCGUAAAAUCGGUCUCAGUCCGGAUUGGAGUCUGCAACUCGACUCCAUGAAGUUGGAAUCGCUAGUAAUCGUGGAUCAGCAUGCCACGGUGAAUACGUUCCCGGGCCUU
RNAcentral lists this ribosomal RNA (513 nucleotides) under uncultured Desulfobulbus sp. RNAcentral describes it as "bacterial SSU rRNA". It matches the Rfam family "Bacterial small subunit ribosomal RNA", at positions 903 to 1382 of the family's 1533-position model. The record is from RNAcentral. Lineage: Bacteria; Pseudomonadati; Thermodesulfobacteriota; Desulfobulbia; Desulfobulbales; Desulfobulbaceae.